RNAcentral lists this ribosomal RNA (549 nucleotides) under uncultured fungus. RNAcentral's name for it is "eukaryotic LSU rRNA". The stretch from base 212 to 365 matches the Rfam family "5.8S ribosomal RNA". The record is from RNAcentral. Lineage: Eukaryota; Fungi.
GCACUUUUUGUAGUCUUGAAGGUUGAGAGCGGUCAACUAUCGGAUGGCUGUUAUGGCCUUUCCGGAUGUGAGGAAUUGCUGAGUGCAAAAGCAUACAGCUCUUCUCAAAACGACUUGCAAUACCUCUCCUUCAAGUACUAUGUAUUCAUAUACCACAUAGUAUGUUGUAGAAUGUGAUCAAUGGGCUUAUGUGCCUAUAAUAAUCAUAUACAACUUUCAGCAACGGAUCUCUUGGCUCUCGCAUCGAUGAAGAACGCAGCGAAAUGCGAUAAGUAAUGUGAAUUGCAGAAUUCAGUGAAUCAUCGAAUCUUUGAACGCACCUUGCGCUCCUUGGUAUUCCGAGGAGCAUGCCUGUUUGAGUGUCAUUAAAUUCUCAACCCCUCUAGCUUUUGCGAGCUGCGAUGGGGCUUGGAUGUUGGGUUUGCGGGCCUUUAUUAAUAGAGGUCGGCUCUCCUGAAAUGCAUUAGCGGAACCGUUUGCAGUCCCGUCACUAGUGUGAUAAAUUAUCUACACUGUGAUGAUUGCUCUCUGACUAAUUCAGCUGCUAAU